Non-coding RNA from Equus caballus (horse), 5447 nucleotides. NCBI's taxonomy places the organism in Eukaryota, Metazoa, Chordata, Mammalia, Perissodactyla, Equidae. The record is from RefSeq and is a predicted model, not a curated record.
CUGUUUACGAUUGUUUUAACUUGAUUUGUGUUCUUCUUUGAAGGAAUUCAGCGUUCCUUACACAUUUCAAAUACAUUCUUAUAAAAAAGCAAUACUACAACUUGGCAGGGAAGGAAAAUAUAUUAUUACAUAUUACCUAUGGGGAGGAUUCGUAUUUCAGGUUAUUCUAAGAAACUGACAUAACCCUUUUGAGUGAUAAGUAGAUCAAAUAUCUAAUUAACAAAGCUAAGCUAACAAAAGGAAUGUCAAGGCAAAGAGCAAUGCUGACUGAAACACUGAGUCGAUUAUCCCUUUGUAUCUAGGGCCCCAAAAGCAUUCAAGACAGACUUAAAAUAGAGAUCAAGGAGAAAUUCUAGAUGAAACAGAAAACACCAAUCCUCCUUUCUGUAGGUUGUUUUCAAGUAAAACAAGUCAAAAAAAGAAGGUUAAGCAAACUGACAGAUAUUUACUGAAUAUUCACUGUAGGUACAAGUAUUUUUGUUUUGAACUGUUAUUUAUUUUCAAAGAUACAUUUAUUAAAAAACUUCUGCAAAUAAAAGAUACAAUAAACAAAGUUAAAAACCAGAUGGGGGCACAAAAUAUUUGCAACGUAUGCAACAAAAGGUUAACACCGACAGUAAAUUAAGCUCUCUUACAAACAAAUAAGGAGAAGACAGUCAACCCAACGGGGAAAAUGGAUGAAGGACAUGAAGAAGCAAUUCAGAGGAGAUAUAAAAAUGGCCAACGAGUGUACAAAAUGAUGUUCAAACUCCUUAGUAAUCAAUAAAAUGCUUUUCCUUCUUGCCUUUGAAAUUGGUAAAAAUGAGAGUGUGGGGAAACGGUUUGUGGGAAUGUAAAACAAUGGCUUUUAGGAGGGCAAUUUCGUCAUCUAUGGAAAAUUUUAAAGCACAUCAACUCUAUUUCCAGCACUGUAUCCCACAGAAAUAUUUGCCUAAGUUCUCAAAGAUGUUUGUGGCUAUACUAUUUGCAAGGGUAAACAAAUAAAAAAAAUCCAAAUGAGCAUUAAGAAUAAUGAGUUCAUUUAUGUGUACUGACAUGAGAAGACACCCAUGACACAGUGUCAAGUGAAAAAAUUAAGGGGCAGAAAAAUUUGUAUACUUUAACUCCACUUUUGUUAAAAACAAAACAAAACAAAAUCAAAACAACAAACUUGUGUAAGCGGGGAAAAAGUUUGGAAGGUUAUGCACAGCAAACUAACAAUAAACUUGUAACAGAGAUUAUAUCCAGAAAACAGAAUUAGCAGGCAGGAAGAAGAUGGUGGAGGCCCUUGCUUUUUACUUUAAAUGCUUUUGUUCUGACUUUUAAAUAACAAGCAUGUAUUAUUUCUGUAAUUAAAAAGUUCAAAAAACCCAAUACAGAAGGCAUUUAUAUGCUUAUUGCAGAAUAUCUGAAAAUAUAGGAAACGGAAAAAAGAAAAUUAAAAUUCUGACUAAUCCCACCAUCUUAAUUUACUUAUGUGUGGGGAACAGAAAGAGGCAAUGAAUAACUACAAACGAACAUAACAUUGGCAAGUGUGGUUGCAAUAAACGCCAAUAUCACGGGGGUACUGAUUUCUGAUCCUGUUUCAAGGUUGUAUCCUGUAUCUGCGGCAGGGAGUGGAUCUAUUUUUGUCUCCCACCAUCUCGUGUAACAAAUGUAUCAGGAAGGCAGUAACGUGGUAACUGAACAAGAGCAAACAAACACAGUGUAUCUGAGAAUGUCGCUACUGAUGAAUUUUUUCACAAUCUUCAGGUUUUUAAAGAUGCUUUCUGAAAUGAUGCUUGUUGACGAGAGGUGACGACAUCUGCCGGCGAGCGCUCUGUGGGGCUUGAAGUUAUUUCUACCAGAGCGUCUUCAGCGUGCGUUCCAGAUGCAGGCCUGGCGAGCUCCGGUUUCCCAGGGCCAGGCUGGCUGAAAACUAUAUCCAGAGCACUCUGUGACACAGAGGAGAGUCCUGGCAGGACCCACCAGGAAGGACAAAAAGAAUAAUAUUCCAAGAUGUGUAUUGUGAAGUGUCCCCUCUGUUGUUCACUGAACUGGUAAGUAUAUUUAGCAGCAAAAUCAUUGCAGCUACUACUGCUGGGAGAGGACAGAGUUCUGAGAUGUCCUUCUGAUCAGACGCUAUGUCUUUCUAUCUGGGCAAACAGGAUGGAGGGUAGAAAAAAAAGGGGAUCUUGAGUCAAAAGGCCUGGGCUUCAGAGGUUACUGAAGGUUACCACUUUGUACAGUCACUAUGAAGCCUUGAGAAAGAGACUUAACUUCUUAGUCGUCUCAUCUGUAGAAUGGGUAUAAUAAUAUUUAAUGACCUGAAAAUUAAAGCCAUGUCUGUAGAGUUGCGGAAAAAAGUCAUCUCAGAGUAGGGUCAUUAGGUCAACAGCUUGCUGGGAACAGGAAACUGAACCUGCACUUCAACUGUAGCUCUGAAAAGGGGCUAUGACCACUAGAAAAGCCAAUAGUCUACUAAACUAAGGGUGAUCCAAUUUCUUGGUCUACUGAAAAACAUUUGGACAGACCUUGCCUUAAAAGGUAAGGAAAAAACAACAAGAGGGAGCCUAUGAAUAGCACUCUAGAACCUGGGAACUGAAUCCAGAGGACUCAGAAGAAAGUACACCUCUGAAAAUUAUCAGCAGAAAAAUCCAGAAAAAUAUUUCAGAAAGCUAUUUAACAUCCUUAAUAGGAACAGAAAAUCUUAAAGAUAAACCAACUGAAGCUAAAAUGCACAAGAAUGAGCUCGAUUAAAAGAGAAAUAAAUGAUAUUAGAGGAUUUCAAGGAAACUAAAAUGCUACAGAAAAAUUAAAAUCCACAAUGGAGGUAAUACAGAAUAGAACUGAUGUGGAAAAAUCAAAUCAAUGAUUGGAGGAAAUCAAAUAAAUGAUAUGGAGGAUAAAUGUGAGGAGUUCUCCUAGAAUGCAACAGGAGUGAUAAAUACAAGACCAUUCUUUUCAUUUAAAAGAAUGACAGGAAAGAUAUGGAGGACAUAAACCUACAAUACAGCCCAUAGAUAACUGGUAUUUCUCAAGGACAAAACCAGAACAAAUGAAAUAGAGCUGAUAAAUAGGUAGAAUAGAAUAAAACUUGCCUGUGUCAAGAAAGAUGUGCAUGUACAACAUCACAUUCAAGGAAAAAUCAGUAAAAAGUAACCUAGAUACAUGCUAAGAAAAUUUCUGUAUUACAAGGAUUAAAAAAUUCUACAAGCAAUCUGAUGGGGGGAAAAAGCUACUAUUAAAAAAAAAAAGGCUAACCUUAGUCUUUUCCACUGUAGCAUUAAAUGCCAAAAGACUAGAGAAUGAUGUCUACAGGGUUUUGAGGGGAAGACUGUGAUGAAGGAACUAAAUCCCUUUCAUUUCAGACUGUUGGUUAUUCCCCACUACACCCUCCUUUUCUUCUAUGGGAACCUAGUCACCCAGCUAAGGACUACAUUUCCCAGCCUUCCUUGCAUGCCACGGUGUGGCCAUGUGACCAGGUCCUGGCCAAUGGGAUCUGAGAAGAAGUAAACGGUGCGAUUUCAUCUAUGCUCUUAAAAAAAAGGAUCAGGCCCCUCAUUUUCCCUUCUCCCUAUCCCGCUUGCUGGAAUUUGAACUGGGUGUUGGGGGAGCUUUCAUAGACCCAUGAGAUGGAAGUUCCAAGUUGAUGAUGGCUUGGGCCGGUAAAGUGGGGAGCUGUCCUGUCAGCCCUGGACUGCUUGCUGAGACUGUUAUGUGAAAGAGAAAUGAACUGUUGUUUAGUUUAAACUACCAUUUUGGCUUUUGUUUUAACUUGUACACCCUGCUAGAAUAUGGCUUAUUGGGAAGGGACAAGAAAGACCUCUUGACUAUUCACCAGUUCCUAAAAUAUUUCCAACAAUAUAUCUUUCUUGAAAAAAUGAUUGGAAUAGAGAUGAGACAAAAUUAAGAACUCAAGAAACGUAAAGUUAGGGUACAAAAUGACUGGUGAUAAAUAUGAAACCAGUUAAAAUAGAUAUAAGUUCUAAGUUGUUGGAAAUGUGGCUUUGAUAAAAGUUUUUUAAGUCUUCUUAAGAGAAGUUGUAUAAUAUAAAAAAUAAUUUAAUAUAACAAUAAUCAGAAAAAACCCCCACAGAAUAUACUAACAAAACCGAGGGAGUGAUGGUGAGGAAGGGAAAGCUCACAUGCUGCAUACUCCUAUACACGGGUUUCAAAAGAGACUGUUUCAUUCCUGAGCCAGACAAUUAGAAAAACGUAGGUGUAAGAAUGUGUUUUUAAAAACAACAACUUCUUGAAGGUAAACAAUUAAAAGAAUAUUGAAGAGCAAAAUUUCAACAAAAGACAGAAGAAAGUAGCAAGGAACCAGAAAGCAUAGAACAAGGCAAGAAAUGAUAUGUUAUUAAAAUUAAAUGUGAUAAACUCCACUAUAAGAAAAUUCUCAGAGUGGGUAAAAUAAUUAGAUCUAAUUAUGUGAAAUUUAAUAGGGACACACUUACAACAAAGUGUCACGAAAUUUUUAAAGGACCAUACAUACAUAAAUGUAAGGCAACCCCCAAAUAAGGCGAUCUCCUCUUUUCUCAAUGAGGUUUUUAAAAAGUUAUUUUGGGGCAAAUAACUACAUAAACUUGAAGAAUAUAGGUGAAACAGUCAAACGUCCACUUAUUUAAUUUAGUAAUUUAGUUGUAGAAAGGCAUAUUUAAAAUCACGUUAUAUAAAGUAGUAUAUUAAUUUAGAAGCAUUGCUCUCAUGAAACUCACGUUUCAUGAUAUGGCUUUAUUCAAGCUUUUCACAGUGUCUUCAACACUAUUGCUUUCAUUUUAGUCAGAACAAUUUUUGGAGUUUUUUAACAGUUUUCCAGAAUAUGUCAUCUUUUAUUCCAUCGAACACAACCACUAAACACUUUUUCUCCAACUUAAAAGUACCAUUUACAAAGCAGCCAGAAAAGCUGAUUUUUACAUUUGUUCUUUAGAUAUAUAUUCAUGUCUCUACAACCACCACUUUCUAAAUUGCUCUUUUAAGGGAUACUUAAAGGCUUGUUGACAAGGACAUCUAAAACUUGAAGUUGUGAGGUCACACCACUAACAAUAAUCACUAGAUCCACUUUAAAUUUGUCUCUUUUUUCACUCAUUCUGUCAGAUGAUCUCUAUAGUAGUCAUCCAUCAAUUAUAUUGAUUGAGGUCAUUUCAGGCUAAUGCAUCUUCCCCAAAUAGUAUUUAUUUUUCAAAUUAAAAAAAAAUGAGAGAGAAAGCCACAAUCUGAAAGACUUUGCAAGGACUUUUUAAGAAGACUUUUUUUUAAAAAGAAGCUCCAGAGUCUUCUUUAAGAAGUCUCUCUUUUUCUUGGGAAGAAAACCUUGUCUUUUAUUUGGGCGUACGUGAAAAGAAGAUGGCCAAAGACAUAUCAAGAAAAUAAGUAUAUAUAAACUGAAAGCAAAGACUGAAAUAUUAAGGUCAGACAAAAUAGAAGGCAAGGAAUAUUUAUUGGGUGAGUGUUAUGAUGACACAUUUCAGCAUUAAUUCAGUCUG